RNAcentral lists this ribosomal RNA (498 nucleotides) under uncultured bacterium. RNAcentral's name for it is "bacterial SSU rRNA". It matches the Rfam family "Bacterial small subunit ribosomal RNA", at positions 28 to 617 of the family's 1533-position model. The record is from RNAcentral.
GAUGAACGCUAGCUACAGGCUUAACACAUGCAAGUCGAGGGACCGGCGCACGGGUGAGUAACGCGUAUCCAACCUGCCCACCACUUGGGGAUAACCUUGCGAAAGUAAGACUAAUACCCAAUGGUGAUGGAUGGGGAUGCGUCUGAUUAGCUUGUUGGCGGGGUAACGGCCCACCAAGGCUACGAUCAGUAGGGGUUCUGAGAGGAAGGUCCCCCACAUUGGAACUGAGACACGGUCCAAACUCCUACGGGAGGCAGCAGUGAGGAAUAUUGGUCAAUGGACGAGAGUCUGAACCAGCCAAGUAGCGUGCAGGAUGACGGCCUAUGGGUUGUAAACUGCUUUUAUAAGGGAAUAUGUACCUUAUGAAUAAGGACCGGCUAAUUCCGUGCCAGCAGCCGCGGUAAUACGGAAGGUCCGGGCGUUAUCCGGAUUUAUUGGGUUUAAAGGGAGCGUAGGCCGGAGAUUAAGCGUGUUGUGAAAUGUAGACGCUCAACGUCU